Molecule: small nucleolar RNA, 73 nt
Organism: Cercocebus atys (sooty mangabey)
Lineage: Eukaryota; Metazoa; Chordata; Mammalia; Primates; Cercopithecidae
Source: Ensembl
CGAUGUUAUGAUGAUGGGCGAAAUGUUCAACUGCUCUGAACGGGCUGAAUGAAAAUGGCCUUUCUGAACAUCC